AUGACUCUUUGGCAGCACAUACACUAAAACUGGUAUGAUACAGAGACUAGCAUGGCCCCUUUACAAGGAUGACAUACAAAUUCGUGAAGCAUUCCUCCAUACA
Molecule: small nuclear RNA, 103 nt
Organism: Protopterus annectens (West African lungfish)
Lineage: Eukaryota; Metazoa; Chordata; Ceratodontiformes; Protopteridae
Source: RefSeq, a predicted model, not a curated record